GACGAACGCUGGCGGCGUGCUUAACACAUGCAAGUCGAGCGGUAAGGCCCUUUCGGGGGUACACGAGCGGCGAACGGGUGAGUAACACGUGGGUGACCUGCCCUCAGCUCUGGGAUAAGCCUGGGAAACUGGGUCUAAUACUGGAUAUGACUCCACGGUGCAUGUCGUGGGUGGAAAGCCUUGUGCGGCUGAGGAUGGGCCCGCGGCCUAUCAGCUUGUUGGUGGGGUGAGGCCUACCAAGGCGACGACGGGUAGCCGGCCUGAGAGGGCGACCGGCCACACUGGGACUGAGACACGGCCCAGACUCCUACGGGAGGCAGCAGUGGGGAAUCUUGCGCAAUGGGCGAAAGCCUGACGCAGCGACGCCGCGUGAGGGAUGAC
This 381-nucleotide ribosomal RNA is filed under the name uncultured bacterium. RNAcentral describes it as "bacterial SSU rRNA". It matches the Rfam family "Bacterial small subunit ribosomal RNA", at positions 28 to 412 of the family's 1533-position model. The record is from RNAcentral.